Molecule: unclassified non-coding RNA, 280 nt
Filed under: Leohumicola sp.
Lineage: Eukaryota; Fungi; Ascomycota; Leotiomycetes
Description: partial contains 5.8S ribosomal RNA, internal transcribed spacer 2, and large subunit ribosomal RNA
Rfam family: 5.8S ribosomal RNA (bases 1-71)
Source: RNAcentral
GUGAGUCAUCGAAUCUUUGAACGCACAUUGCGCCCCUUGGUAUUCCGAGGGGCAUGCCCGUUCGAGCGUCAUUAUAACCCCUCAAGCCUAGCUUGGUGUUGGGGCCUGCUGUUACCGGCAGCCCUUAAAACCAGUGGCGGUGCCAUCUGGCUCUAAGCGUAGUAAUACUUCUCGCUACAGGGUCCUGGUGGAUGCUUGCCAUCAACCCCUAAUUUUCUAUGGUUGACCUCGGAUCGGGUAGGGAUACCCGCUGAACUUAAGCAUAUCAAUAAGCGGAGGA